This 241-nucleotide long non-coding RNA is filed under the name Glycine max (soybean). Its description in RNAcentral is "long non-coding RNA (GMAX_LNC004458)". Lineage: Eukaryota; Viridiplantae; Streptophyta; Magnoliopsida; Fabales; Fabaceae. The record is from RNAcentral.
GAAGGAAACCCUUAGAAUGUUGUUUUCCCCCAUAUUUUUUCUUGUUUAACUCACCUGACUAACUAAUAUUACAAACUCCUCUUCCCCUUAUAUCCUAACAAAACUUGUACUACUCUCUGCUGCUACUCUUUCGAAUGACAUCAAAUUCAUAAUGUAAGUUCUUGCUGAACACUGAACUUGAGAAACUGGUUGGUGGUAGAUGGAUUAACUUAAAAGUUUUCAGUACAUCUUGAAACUUCCC